This 74-nucleotide transfer RNA is filed under the name Fomitiporia mediterranea. Its description in RNAcentral is "tRNA-Trp". It matches the Rfam family "tRNA". Rfam says of the family: Transfer RNA (tRNA) molecules are approximately 80 nucleotides in length. Their secondary structure includes four short double-helical elements and three loops (D, anti-codon, and T loops). Lineage: Eukaryota; Fungi; Basidiomycota; Agaricomycetes; Hymenochaetales; Hymenochaetaceae. The record is from RNAcentral.
AAGAGUGUAGUAUUAAUUGGUUAGUAUGGCGAUCUCCAAAGUCCUCGGUAGGUGUUCGACUCACCUCGCUCUUG